CUAGCCUCAGGCCUGCCCAGACGGUGUUCAGGUGAGUCUCCCCAAAGGGGUGGCAUUCGGUCUGAGGAGGGUGUGUUUCCAUGCCACUGCCAUGUGACGGUGUGUGUGUGUGUGUGUAUGUGUGUGUGUCUCCCAUUCUCUCCUCUCUCGCUGUCUCUCACUCUGUUUCUUUCCCUCUCUCUGUCGGUUUGUGUGUGUGUGUGUGUGUUUGUGUGUGCAUGCUCUGGUGUGUGUGUGUGUUUGGACGUAUGUGCCUGUGAGCCAGAAAGUGAUUUCUUGCAUGUCGGCUGGUCUUUGGUGAGCCUCUUUCUGCAUCUCUGCCUGGUUCAUGUGGCCAGCUGUCAGUCAUUUUCCUGGCCGUUCCACUUUGGGUUUGUGAAGGCCUCGAUCACGUGAGGAGACGCGUCGGUCCCGGAGCAAUUGAACUAUCAUCCCCAUCCUGAGUGGCCUAAGGGCCCCAGAGCUUUUACAAGUGGGACAGGCGACUGCUCUUUCAAAGGAGGAGGGAGGCAGAGGGCUCAUGGGUUAGUGAUUUUUCUGCUGACACCACACCUUGAGGCCCAUGUGAUCAUUGUGCCCUGCAAGGAGGCCCUUCUUUUCUCAGCAGAUGUGGUGAGCCCAUCCGUCUUCACCCGGAGGGGUCCAAAAUCGGAUCUUAAGAGGGGUCUUCAGAUGCCAGCAGGUGCCCUGAAGCUCUCCCUCCACCGGUGGAAGUCAGCUUAAGGAAGUCUUUGAGACAGGACUCCUCGGGAUUUGGCCCUGGGACCCCCGUGG
RNAcentral lists this long non-coding RNA (774 nucleotides) under Homo sapiens (human). Its description in RNAcentral is "HSALNT0266077". Lineage: Eukaryota; Metazoa; Chordata; Mammalia; Primates; Hominidae. The record is from RNAcentral.